GAUCUGGAUCCAUCAUGUUUCUUUUCAAACCCCAUGAAGACGGAUCCUCUUUGGUUUAUUUUGAAGAAAAUCGUACACGAAGAAGAUGAUGAAUCAGAUAUCGAAGAGAAGGCUGAAGUUUUUGUUCGAAACCAGGGAAAGAUCCGGUGAAAUUACACAUUUUUUUACGUUUUUGAGGAGGCUGAAGGGGUUUGUUCGAAAAUCUUGUUCAAGAAGGUGAAUAAAUCUGUACCAACCAAAACAAUUUGAAGAUGAUGUUUCAGAUGUUGAAAAUGAUUCAAAAGAUGUUUGAUGUUGAACAUAGUUACGAAAUGUAACAAUCAA
Helianthus annuus (common sunflower) is the source of this 324-nucleotide long non-coding RNA. RefSeq lists it as uncharacterized. NCBI's taxonomy places the organism in Eukaryota, Viridiplantae, Streptophyta, Magnoliopsida, Asterales, Asteraceae. The transcript has 2 exons. The record is from RefSeq and is a predicted model, not a curated record.